AGGUUAUAAUGAGGACACUUUCGUAAUAAAUCUUUUUACCUCUCUCAUGCUUCAUACAAAGAUUCAUUCUCAAAUUGAGUGAAUGUGGGAAUAUUAUUCCUUAGCUU
This is a small nucleolar RNA of Juglans microcarpa x Juglans regia, 107 nucleotides long. Lineage: Eukaryota; Viridiplantae; Streptophyta; Magnoliopsida; Fagales; Juglandaceae. The record is from RefSeq and is a predicted model, not a curated record.